CCUACGGGGGGCAGCAGUGAGGAAUAUUGGUCAAUGGACGAGAGUCUGAACCAGCCAAGUAGCGUGAAGGAUGACUGCCCUAUGGGUUGUAAACUUCUUUUAUAUGGGAAUAAAAUGUUCCACGUGUGGGAUUUUGUAUGUACCAUAUGAAUAAGGAUCGGCUAACUCCGUGCCAGCAGCCGCGGUAAUACGGAGGAUCCGAGCGUUAUCCGGAUUUAUUGGGUUUAAAGGGAGCGUAUGUGGAUUGUUAAGUCAGUUGUGAAAGUUUGCGGCUCAACCGUAAAAUUGCAGUUGAAACUGGCAGUCUUGAGUACAGUAGAGGUGGGCGGAAUUCGUGGUGUAGCGGUGAAAUGCUUAGAUAUCACGAAGAACUCCGAUUGCGAAGGCAGUUCACUGGACUGCAACUGACACUGAGGCUCGAAAGUGUGGGUAUCAAACAGGAUUAGAUACCCUAGUAGUC
Molecule: ribosomal RNA, 460 nt
Filed under: uncultured bacterium
Lineage: Bacteria
Description: partial 16S ribosomal RNA
Rfam family: Bacterial small subunit ribosomal RNA
Source: RNAcentral